CUUGGUUCGCUUGGAUGUGGAAAGUCAGAUGUGAAUCAUCUUCCUGGGAAAGCACUGAGUAAUGCUUGAGUGCUUGGGAAAAUGUCAAACCAGCCGACUGGCUGUUGGAGAAUGCCAAGGAAGGGAAGAAAUCCUUCUGCUGAGGCUCAGAGACCUUCUGGGUAGAGAACCGCUCUACUGCUCCAAGACUGGCAGCUCACUUUGUGGUGGCAAAGAACUAGAAACUGGAGAGAUGUCCAUUCAUUGGAGUAUGAUUGAAUAAGUUACAAUUGCUGUGGAAUUUUACUGCUACCUAAGAAAUGACAAGUUGGUUAAUUUAGGAAAACCAUGGAAAGAUCAAUAUGAAAUUAAGAAGAAUGAAAUGAACAGAGCCAAGAAAACAAUAUACAGCAAAAGAAAUAUUGUUUGAAAAAUGAUUUGUAUGUUUCCAUCUCCAGAGGAACAAUUGAGGAAGAAAUAACUGAC
Molecule: long non-coding RNA, 465 nt
Filed under: Monodelphis domestica (gray short-tailed opossum)
Lineage: Eukaryota; Metazoa; Chordata; Mammalia; Didelphimorphia; Didelphidae
Description: lncRNA (ENSMODG00000044894.1)
Source: RNAcentral